CGGGGGGAGCAAGCGUUGUUCGGAUUUACUGGGCGUAAAGGGCGGGUAGGCGGCCACCGCAAGUCGACUGUGAAAUCUCCGGGCUUAACCCGGAAAGGUCAGCCGAUACUGCGGGGCUAGAGUGCAGAAGGGGCAACUGGAAUUCUCGGUGUAGCGGUGAAAUGCGUAGAUAUCGAGAGGAACACCUGCGGCGAAGGCGGGUUGCUGGGCUGACACUGACGCUGAACUGCGAAAGCUAGGGGAGCGAACGGGAUUAGAUACCCCGGUAGUCCUAGCCUUAAACGAUGAAUGCUUGGUGUCUGGGGUUUUAUAGUCCCCGGGUGCCGUCGCUAACGCUUUAAGCAUUCCGCCUGGGGAGUACGGCGCAAGGUC
Molecule: ribosomal RNA, 372 nt
Filed under: uncultured organism
Description: bacterial SSU rRNA
Rfam family: Bacterial small subunit ribosomal RNA
Source: RNAcentral